Molecule: ribosomal RNA, 292 nt
Filed under: uncultured bacterium
Lineage: Bacteria
Description: partial 16S ribosomal RNA
Rfam family: Bacterial small subunit ribosomal RNA
Source: RNAcentral
GUGUCAGCCGCCGCGGUAAUACGGAGGGUGCAAGCGUUAUCCGGAUUCACUGGGUUUAAAGGGAGCGCAGGCGGAUUUGUAAGUCAGUGGUGAAAGGCUUAAGCUUAACUUGGGAACUGCCAUUGAUACUAUAAGUCUUGAAUGUUGUUGAGGUUUGCGGAAUGGGUCAUGUAGCGGUGAAAUGCAUAGAUAUGACCCGGAACACCUAUUGCGAAGGCAGCAGGCUAAACAAAUAUUGACGCUGAGGCUCGAAAGCGUGGGGAUCAAACAGGAUUAGAAACCCUUGUAGUCC